UAACCUGCCCAAGAGAUCGGGAUAACACCUGGAAACAGAUGCUAAUACCGGAUAACAACAGAUGAUGCCUAUCAACUGUUUAAAAGAUGGUUCUGCUAUCACUCUUGGAUGGACCUGCGGUGCAUUAGCUAGUUGGUAGGGUAACGGCCCACCAAGGCGAUGAUGCAUAGCCGAGUUGAGAGACUGAUCGGCCACAUUGGGACUGAGACACGGCCCAAACUCCUACGGGAGGCAGCAGUC
This 240-nucleotide ribosomal RNA is filed under the name uncultured Lactobacillus sp. RNAcentral's name for it is "partial 16S ribosomal RNA". It matches the Rfam family "Bacterial small subunit ribosomal RNA", at positions 122 to 355 of the family's 1533-position model. The record is from RNAcentral. Lineage: Bacteria; Bacillati; Bacillota; Bacilli; Lactobacillales; Lactobacillaceae.